RNAcentral lists this unclassified non-coding RNA (1299 nucleotides) under Schistocerca americana (American grasshopper). RNAcentral describes it as "serine/arginine-rich splicing factor 4-like, transcript variant X3". Lineage: Eukaryota; Metazoa; Arthropoda; Insecta; Orthoptera; Acrididae. The record is from RNAcentral.
GUAACACUGGCUAUGGUAGUAUCCAGUGAUGAUAGUAGCGCGAUGUCUAAUUUGUCAGUGGGAUUUGAUAAUCCGUAGUGUUUAUAUUGACAUUGUUUGUUGUGAUAGGUGGUGGGUAGAAUUAUCUGUAAAGUUACAAUGAGCAGAUAUUCAAGUGACUCAAACUCUAGUCGAGGAGAAGAUCAUUAUCGGAAGAAAAAAAAGUCAAAUAGAAGUGGAGGAAGGUCAAGAAGCUGUUCAUACUCCAGCAGUGACAGUAGUUAUUCUAAACGGCACUCACGAAAGCACAAGAAGGGAAAACAUCACCACUCUCAUAGUAGGGAUCAUUAUGGCAAAAGAAUGCUCAAUGACCAGUCACACUCAAAAAAUAGGACCCAUAGCAGGCGAUCCAGAGAGAGAUCAAGGUCACUAUCAAGAGAGAGAUCACAUGACCGUAUAAUAUCCAGAUCUAAAAAGAAGGUUAAAAGGCAUUCUAGGUCCCGAUCUCCAUCAAAGUCCAGACACAGAUAUAGAUCUUACUCGAGAUCACUAUCGAAAGACAAAUCGAGAUCACGUUCACGUUCCGUACAGAGAUCUCUGUCACAGAGUUCGAGAGACUCCCAGCUGUAUACUAAAAUGAAGACAGAGAAACAAGAUCAAAAAGAAAUCAGUGAAGUUAAUGAAGGACAGAAAGAAAAUGGAAAAAGUUUGAAAGAGCAAAUUACAGAAAGUGCAGAAAAGAUUCUCGGGAUUACUGUUACAGGAAUCACUUCUCUGGGACCAUCACAAAGUGUUUUGGACAAAUUGAAUAGUCCUGGAUUUGAGCAGAGAUCAUUUGUAUCAACAAAAUCUGCUGGGAGAAUAGCGGAUAAAGCACUGGAAGUUGAAGUAGAAGCACCUGCUCCACCACUGUUAACAAAUGAUGAUGAUCCAAAAAGUAUAUUUCACUCAAGAACAAAUUUCCUCUGCCUAAAAUUCUGCAACCUGGAACUUUUGGACUCCACCAGCACAUAACUUGUGGCAUCCUACUUGUUUAAUCAUGAUGUCAUGAAAAAUCCUUACAGAAGUCUACGUUAUUUUCAGAUCAGCAACGAAUGGAAAAAUGGAUUAAGAAGUUGUUCCACCUCCGCCAAAAAGCUGUAAAUGGUGAACCUAUUAUUUAGUUACUGUUCAUUACUGUUAUAUGAUUUUUAUUUUCUGAAAUUGGAAACUACAGUUUUAUAUUGUAAAGUAACAUGGAUGUUAUUCUAAAAGUAUAUAAACAACAAGAGUUCAACAUGUAAACUAUUAUCUGCAAAUAAAAUACAUUUAAACUCUUUA